CCUACGGGAGGCUGCAGCGGGGAAUAUUGGACAAUGGGGGGAACCCUGAUCCAGCCAUGCCGCGUGUGUGAAGAAGGCCCUCGGGUUGUAAAGCACUUUCAGUGAGGAAGAACGCCUGGUGGUUAAUACCCAUCAGGAAAGACAUCACUCACAGAAGAAGCACCGGCUAACUCCGUGCCAGCAGCCGCGGUAAUACGGAGGGUGCGAGCGUUAAUCGGAAUUACUGGGCGUAAAGCGCGCGUAGGUGGCUUGAUAAGCCGGUUGUGAAAGCCCCGGGCUCAACCUGGGAACGGCAUCCGGAACUGUCAAGCUAGAGUGCAGGAGAGGAAGGUAGAAUUCCCGGUGUAGCGGUGAAAUGCGUAGAGAUCGGGAGGAAUACCAGUGGCGAAGGCGGCCUUCUGGACUGACACUGACACUGAGGUGCGAAAGCGUGGGUAGCAAACAGGAUUAGAUACCCGAGUAGUC
This 465-nucleotide ribosomal RNA is filed under the name Vreelandella stevensii. RNAcentral describes it as "partial 16S ribosomal RNA". It matches the Rfam family "Bacterial small subunit ribosomal RNA", at positions 338 to 795 of the family's 1533-position model. The record is from RNAcentral. Lineage: Bacteria; Pseudomonadati; Pseudomonadota; Gammaproteobacteria; Oceanospirillales; Halomonadaceae.